RNAcentral lists this ribosomal RNA (495 nucleotides) under uncultured bacterium. RNAcentral's name for it is "partial 16S ribosomal RNA". It matches the Rfam family "Bacterial small subunit ribosomal RNA", at positions 28 to 507 of the family's 1533-position model. The record is from RNAcentral.
GACGAACGCUGGCGGCGUGCCUAAUACAUGCAAGUAGAACGCUGAAGGAGGAGCUUGCUUCUCUGGAUGAGUUGCGAACGGGUGAGUAACGCGUAGGUAACCUGCCUGGUAGCGGGGGAUAACUAUUGGAAACGAUAGCUAAUACCGCAUAAUAGUAGAUGUUGCAUGACAUUUGCUUAAAAGGUGCAAUUGCAUCACUACCAGAUGGACCUGCGUUGUAUUAGCUAGUUGGUGGGGUAACGGCUCACCAAGGCGACGAUACAUAGCCGACCUGAGAGGGUGAUCGGCCACACUGGGACUGAGACACGGCCCAGACUCCUACGGGAGGCAGCAGUAGGGAAUCUUCGGCAAUGGACGGAAGUCUGACCGAGCAACGCCGCGUGAGUGAAGAAGGUUUUCGGAUCGGAAAGCUCUGUUGUAAGAGAAGAACGAGUGUGAGAGUGGAAAGUUCACACUGUGACGGUAUCUGACCAGAAAGGGACGGCUAACUACGUG